GACGAACUGAGCGAACGUUGUUCGGAAUAACUGGGCUUAAAGGGCGCGUAGGCGGGCCGCCAAGUUCGAGGUGAAAUCCUCCGGCUCAACCGGAGAACUGCCUCGAAUACUGGAGGCCUCGAGGCGGGUAGGGGCACGCGGAACUGUGGGUGGAGCGGUGAAAUGCGUUGAUAUCCACAGGAACUCCGGUGGCGAAGGCGGCGUGCUGGACCCGAUCUGACGCUGAGGCGCGAAAGCCAGGGGAGCAAACGGG
This 253-nucleotide ribosomal RNA is filed under the name uncultured bacterium. Its description in RNAcentral is "partial 16S ribosomal RNA". It matches the Rfam family "Bacterial small subunit ribosomal RNA", at positions 524 to 776 of the family's 1533-position model. The record is from RNAcentral.